ACACACUGAGCAUACACUUGUUCAUUCGCACACGGUCAGCAUUCCUCCGUGUGGGGUUAACGAGACGGCCGUUCGCCCCAAAACUAGCCCUGACCUCUCAACCGAUCCCUCAUGCUUGGAAUUGGCCGUCCCCUGACCCUGUUCUUUUCCCCUCCACCCGAGUUCUCCUUCUCCGGCAUCGGUAACUAUUCCGGUAAAUUCACCUUGAUCAGGUAUUAACCUUGUUCUCUAAUAUUUUGUUUUCUCAUUUCAGAUACCUUGUCGUUCAGGUUCAGCCGUUCAGGUGCUUGAAGCGCCUAAACCUUACAAAUAACGAACGGCUUGUAUCUGUGUGGGCCGAUACUAUAGUGGGUUGAAGUUGAAGGGUGAGAGGUCUGAGAUCCAAAGUGGGUUUACCGAUUGGUUAAGUUGAUCUGGUUGUGGGACGGUUGUAUGAAACUAAUUUGGAUCCGAUCCAGAGUCGCUUUCAGGCAUUUGGUAUGUCAUGUCCGUAAGCUCUGUACCUCAAAAUCAGCAAUCACAAAGAAUAUAUUAUAUAUUGACCUUUAACAUCUCACAAACAGACAGCGAUUCUGUGAUUCUGUUGUGUCAUUCCAUUCAUAUUGUGAAUAAACACUUAUUCUGGCACCCUAAACACUCGGUUCCGGCCGGUUGAUACUUGAAAGYCGAGCCUCUACAUUGUAUUUACAACAACGCCGCAAGAACUCUUAUAUAGAAAAAGAACAAAAGAAGGCAGCAAAAUCUGAAAAAAUACAGGGAACUUAUAGACACUUGUGUAUUUAUAUAUCACUAUCAUCAGUAUUCUUUUUCAUUAACUUGCGCCUCUUGUUAGCAUCCCAUUAUUGUAGAUAUGAAAUCUGUCUUUUUCUUUUUCAUCAUCAUCAGCUUUGAUGAAAAAAAACUGUCCCUGCCGCCUUGGUUACAGAUUUUAUCUAUACAUGAAUCCUCAAAAUAUGAGUGUUGGAAAAUACCUGAUUAAGGUGAACUCACCGGAGCGGUCGCUGGUGCCGGAGAAGGAGAGUUCGGAUGAAGGGGAGAAGAACGGGGUCAGGGGACGGACAGUUCAAGUACGAGGGAUCGGUUAAAGGGGCGGAAAUGUAGAAAUGAGGGUUUUGGGUUAGUUUUGGGGUUAACGGCCGUCCCGUUAGCCCCGCACACGGGAAUGCCAACCACGUGCAAAUGAACAGAUGGCGGACGCUCGAUGUAUGGGGCGUUUGUGUGGAGGGGGUGGGGAGCAGAUUUGAACUGUUCAAUAACAUGAGGGUGCAUGAGUGCCCCUCGAUUCUACUGUUUUAAAGACAAACUCGACAUCCUUCGAUCAUUAUCCGACACGUGGUGCUGGAUAGCAGCCCCACUUAUAGACGUGGCAAGUUUAACUGAAAUAGAGAUCUAACGCAUGAUGAUUUUCCAGUAUCAUGCCAUGUCUUCCCGACAGCAUAGCCACGCGGUUGAUAUUGACGAAAAGAUCAUAAAAACGACUCAUCCUGAUGAGAUGGACGGUCUUGAUCUUCCGAUCACCAUUAGGCAUUAGCAGCACAGAAUAGAAUACAUUCGCGUUGCUCAUCGUAUUAGUGACCGCACGACGAGAUUUCCCGCUUCGUUGAGGGAUGAUGGAAUUCUCGCUUGGAUGGAGUGGGUUUGAGAUCUUUUGUCCUUGAGAUUUGGAAAAGAAUGUCGGGUGAUAUCAAUGAUCUGGAUGCUGAGAAAUUAAAGAUUCUGAUUGUAAGGUGAAAGGAAUCGACUCUUCCCUGUUUCUCAGAAUUGAAGAGCAUCGGAGGACGCAUCCGAUUCAAGAAACAUUUUAGCGAGGCAAGCGUUUUAUCCAGUUUUUAAAGAGUUUCAUGGCGAUUCCUUCUGAACAAAUCACAAGCAUCUGUAGUCACUGUGGCAAAGCUAUUCCAGCCCAAAAUAUUGACUUGCACUAUGCACACUGCUCCCGGAAUCUGGAAAAAUGUAAAGUUUGUGGAGAUAUGGUACCCAAAAGGCAUGCUGAAGAACAUUACUUCAAUACACAUGCCCCGGUAUCUUGUUCACUAUGCAGUGAGACGGUAGAUCGUGAAAUAUUAAUUCUCCAUAGAGAUGAAAAUUGCCCCCAAAGGAUUGUCACUUGUGAAUAUUGUGAAUUCCCUUUGCCUGCAGUUGAUCUCUUCAAGCAUCAGGAAGUAUGUGGCAAUCGGACAGAAUAUUGUCAUCUCUGUGGCAGGUACAUUAGGCUGUGUGAGCGAAGUGGCCAUGAAACCAGGUGUCAUGUUAGUUCAAAUAGUGUUGCUGGACCUUCCAGGCCAUUUGGAAGCGAACAAGGAUGGGGGUUGUUCUACCUUCUUGAGGAGCUUCAGGAAGUAUGAUUAUCAAGUGGGAUGAAGGAAAUUCGUGAGUUGAAGGAUAAAUUGAUGGUUUCCAAUUUGUCUGGUUCAACAACACUCAACAGUAGAUAUGAUGGUCUCAAAUGGAUUUCCAUGGGUAUAUGGACCCAACUCACCACAUAUUCCUAGAAGCACCUUGUUGGAGGAACUGACUAUUGGGAUGGGCAGUUGGGCAAAGUUGCAUUGAGUUUCUGUUCAGUUCAAAUGUUCAAUAGUAGGGAUGGUCAUGGUGUCGUGUGGAUUUUCAUAGGUACAUGGACCUAACUUACCUAGUUGGUCGGCUAUUCCAAGAUGCACCUUGUGAGAGUAACCCAAGCUUCUACUGGUUUGGGCAGUUAGGCACUGGGGAGACUUCAACAUGACUGCAUUUGUGCGCGGGAAGUCCCGUAAAGACGGAAUAAUUGAAGUAUCAGUCAGAUUUGUUUUUUGUCAGUUUGGGACCCACUGGAACGCAAAUUCAUCUGAAAGAGAUGAAGAUGCUCGAAGAAGACAACCACAUGAUCUAUCACGGAGGCGCUUAGUGUUUACAAUUGCAA
Nelumbo nucifera (sacred lotus) is the source of this 2899-nucleotide RNA transcript. RefSeq lists it as uncharacterized. The record is from RefSeq and is a predicted model, not a curated record. Lineage: Eukaryota; Viridiplantae; Streptophyta; Magnoliopsida; Proteales; Nelumbonaceae.